AUGCAUCGUGAUUCCUGUCCAUUGGACUGUAAAGUUUAUGUAGGUAAUCUUGGAAACAAUGGUAACAAGACUGAAUUGGAACGAGCUUUUGGCUAUUAUGGACCACUCCGAAGUGUGUGGGUUGCUAGAAACCCUCCCGGCUUUGCUUUUGUUGAAUUUGAAGAUCCCCGAGACGCAGCUGAUGCUGUCCGAGAGCUAGAUGGGAGAACACUCUGUGGCUGCCGAGUAAGAGUGGAACUAUCGAAUGGUGAAAAGAGAAGUCGUAAUCGUGGCCCACCUCCUUCUUGGGGUCGUCGCCCUCGAGAUGAUUAUCGGAGGAGGAGUCCUCCACCUCGACGCAGAUCUCCAAGACGGAGAAGCUUCUCCCGCAGCCGGAGCAGGUCCCUUUCUAGCGAUAGGAGAAGAGAGAGAUCACUGUCCCGGGAGAGAAAUCACAAGCCGUCCCGAUCUUUCUCUAGGUCUCGUAGCCGAUCUAGGUCAAAUGAAAGGAAAUAG
RNAcentral lists this long non-coding RNA (495 nucleotides) under Bos taurus (domestic cattle). RNAcentral describes it as "long non-coding RNA NONBTAT021532". Lineage: Eukaryota; Metazoa; Chordata; Mammalia; Artiodactyla; Bovidae. The record is from RNAcentral.